Pyronema omphalodes CBS 100304 is the source of this 87-nucleotide non-coding RNA. NCBI's taxonomy places the organism in Eukaryota, Fungi, Ascomycota, Pezizomycetes, Pezizales, Pyronemataceae. The record is from Rfam.
GGUCGUAUGGUGUAGUGGUUAUCACGUUUCCUUUACAGUCUCGAACGCGUACGGAAAAGGCCGCAGGUUCAAUCCCUGCUACGAUCA